RNAcentral lists this ribosomal RNA (387 nucleotides) under uncultured bacterium. RNAcentral describes it as "bacterial SSU rRNA". It matches the Rfam family "Bacterial small subunit ribosomal RNA", at positions 28 to 417 of the family's 1533-position model. The record is from RNAcentral.
GACGAACGCUGGCGGCGUGCUUAACACAUGCAAGUCGAGCGGUAAGGCCCUUUCGGGGGUACACGAGCGGCGAACGGGUGAGUAACACGUGGGUGACCUGCCCUCAGCUCUGGGAUAAGCCUGGGAAACCGGGUCUAAUACCGGAUAUGACUCCAUGACGCAUGUUGUGGGGUGGAAAGCCUUGUGCGGUUGAGGAUGGGCCCGCGGCCUAUCAGCUUGUUGGUGGGGUGAUGGCCACCAAGGCGACGACGGGUAGCCGGCCUGAGAGGGCGACCGGCCACACUGGGACUGAGACACGGCCCAGACUCCUACGGGAGGCAGCAGUGGGGAAUCUUGCGCAAUGGGCGAAAGCCUGACGCAGCGACGCCGCGUGAGGGAUGACGGCCU